UACGUAGGGCGCAAGCGUUAUCCGGAAUUAUUGGGCGUAAAGAGCUCGUAGGCGGUUUGUCGCGUCUGCCGUGAAAGUCCGGGGCUCAACUCCGGAUCUGCGGUGGGUACGGGCAGACUAGAGUGAUGUAGGGGAGACUGGAAUUCCUGGUGUAGCGGUGAAAUGCGCAGAUAUCAGGAGGAACACCGGCGGCGAAGGCGGCUUCCUGGCCCAUUACUGACGUUCAGGUACGAAAGCGUGGGUAGCAAACAGG
RNAcentral lists this ribosomal RNA (253 nucleotides) under uncultured bacterium. Its description in RNAcentral is "partial 16S ribosomal RNA". It matches the Rfam family "Bacterial small subunit ribosomal RNA", at positions 524 to 776 of the family's 1533-position model. The record is from RNAcentral.